RNAcentral lists this ribosomal RNA (253 nucleotides) under uncultured bacterium. RNAcentral describes it as "partial 16S ribosomal RNA". It matches the Rfam family "Bacterial small subunit ribosomal RNA", at positions 524 to 776 of the family's 1533-position model. The record is from RNAcentral.
UACAGAGGGUGCAAGCGUUGUUCGGAAUUAUUGGGCGUAAAGGGCGCGUAGGCGGUGCGGUAAGUCUGUAGUGAAAUCUCUGGGCUCAACUCAGAGUCUGCUGCAGAAACUGCCGUGCUUGAGUGUGGGAGAGGUGAGUGGAAUUCCCGGUGUAGCGGUGAAAUUCGUAGAUAUUCGGAAGAACACCAGUGGCGAAGGCGACUUACUGGACACAUACUGACGCUGAGGUGCGAAAGCGUGGGGAGCAAACAGG